This 331-nucleotide unclassified non-coding RNA is filed under the name soil metagenome. Its description in RNAcentral is "partial contains 5.8S ribosomal RNA, internal transcribed spacer 2, and large subunit ribosomal RNA". The stretch from base 1 to 120 matches the Rfam family "5.8S ribosomal RNA", at positions 35 to 154 of the family's 154-position model. The record is from RNAcentral.
GAUGAAGAACGCAGCGAAAUGCGAUAAGUAAUGUGAAUUGCAGAAUUCAGUGAAUCAUCGAAUCUUUGAACGCACAUUGCGCCCCCUGGUAUUCCGGGGGACAUGCCUGUUCGAGCGUCAUUUCACCACUCAAGCCUCGCUUGGUAUUGGGCAACGCGGUCCGCCGCGUGCCUCAAAUCGACCGGCUGGGUCUUCUGUCCCCUAAGCGUUGUGGAAACUAUUCGCUAAAGGGUGUUCGGGAGGCUACGCCGUAAAACAACCCCAUUUCUAAGGUUGACCUCGGAUCAGGUAGGGAUACCCGCUGAACUUAAGCAUAUCAAUAAGCGGAGGA